GGGCGAUUAGCUCAGCUGGUUAGAGCGCGCGCCUCACAUGCGCGAGGCCGGGGGUUCGAGUCCCUCAUCGCCCA
Molecule: transfer RNA, 74 nt
Filed under: Gemmatimonadales bacterium
Lineage: Bacteria; Pseudomonadati; Gemmatimonadota; Gemmatimonadia; Gemmatimonadales
Also listed under: 2 other names
Description: tRNA-Val
Rfam family: tRNA
About the family: Transfer RNA (tRNA) molecules are approximately 80 nucleotides in length. Their secondary structure includes four short double-helical elements and three loops (D, anti-codon, and T loops). Further hydrogen bonds mediate the characteristic L-shaped molecular structure. tRNAs have two regions of fundamental functional importance: the anti-codon, which is responsible for specific mRNA codon recognition, and the 3' end, to which the tRNAs corresponding amino acid is attached (by aminoacyl-tRNA synthetases). tRNAs cope with the degeneracy of the genetic code in two manners: having more than one tRNA (with a specific anti-codon) for a particular amino acid; and 'wobble' base-pairing, i.e. permitting non-standard base-pairing at the 3rd anti-codon position.
Source: RNAcentral